Molecule: long non-coding RNA, 259 nt
Filed under: Olea europaea (common olive)
Lineage: Eukaryota; Viridiplantae; Streptophyta; Magnoliopsida; Lamiales; Oleaceae
Description: long non-coding RNA (OEUR_LNC007150)
Source: RNAcentral
UGCAUUUCAUUUAUGGCAGAAUAUCCAUUAUUUAAUUGAAUUAAUAUUCUAAUAAACUAAAUAAUAGAAUCCGUAAUUCAAUAAAGGUAUAAUUUCUAUCGUGGAGGAUUCUUCUCCUCUCUUCGGUUAUUUGGAAUUAUACACUCACAUUGCGUUGGUUACUCCUACAGAGGGAAGAGAUAAAAAUCCAGACUGCAGGCUUCUGGAUAAUGCUAAAUUCUCACGUAUGAUAUGUUGCUGAGGGAUACAUUCUUAUUUC